Molecule: ribosomal RNA, 762 nt
Filed under: Ditylenchus sp. 20181130DIS1
Lineage: Eukaryota; Metazoa; Nematoda; Chromadorea; Rhabditida; Anguinidae
Description: partial large subunit ribosomal RNA
Rfam family: Eukaryotic large subunit ribosomal RNA
Source: RNAcentral
UACCGUGAGGGAAAGUUGCAAAGCACUUUGAAGAGAGAGUUAAAGAGGACGUGAAACCGAUAAGGUGGAAACGGAUAGAGCUGACGUAUCUAGCUUGUAUUCAGCCGCUCGUUUAGCGUAGGCCGAAUUCGCCAAUCCUGCUUCUGGUUGGUGGAUUCGUGCUGUGCACGAUCCGGCGGUGCAUUUGCAAGUGGAGUGCGCCGAGAGCCACACUGCAGCGGUUCGAGCUCCGCUCAGAGGACCCUCUCUAGGGAGGGAAACCCGAGCGGGAGGAGGACUGUUUGCGGUGUGUGCCCAUGGGAGUAUGGACUUAACACGAGCCGGUUGGCCACUUUGUCGUCGGCGAGAAGCGGUCGCAUGCGAACGUUCUCGCCGUCUACUUGUCGGUCGAUUUUGGCUCUCAUACUCGAUCUCGGUGUAAAAGUCGGUCAUCUAUCCGACCCGUCUUGAAACACGGACCAAGGAGUUUAACAAAUAUGCGAGUCAUUGAGUGUUGAAAACUCAAAGGCGCAAUGAAAGUAAAGGCACCUCUCGUAGGGCUGAUAUGCGAUCCCGGGCGUUUCGGCGCACGGGCGCAGCAUAGCCCCAUCCCGAUUGCUUGCAAUGGGGUGGAGGCAGAGCAUAUUUGCUGAGACCCGAAAGAUGGUGAACUAUGCCUGAGCAGGACGAAGCCAGAGGAAACUCUGGUGGAAGUCCGAAGCGGUUCUGACGUGCAAAUCGAUCGUCUGACUUGGGUAUAGGGGCGAAAGACUAAUCGAACCA